This 429-nucleotide ribosomal RNA is filed under the name Verrucomicrobiota bacterium. Its description in RNAcentral is "Verrucomicrobia bacterium partial 16S ribosomal RNA". It matches the Rfam family "Bacterial small subunit ribosomal RNA", at positions 355 to 776 of the family's 1533-position model. The record is from RNAcentral. Lineage: Bacteria; Pseudomonadati; Verrucomicrobiota.
UAGGGAAUCUUCCGCAAUGGACGAAAGUCUGACGGAGCAACGCCGCGUGAGUGAAGAAGGAUUUCGGUUCGUAAAACUCUGUUGUUAGGGAAGAAAAAAUGUAUAGUAACUAUAUACAAAAGAGACGGUACCUAACCAGAAAGCCACGGCUAACUACGUGCCAGCAGCCGCGGUAAUACGUAGGUGGCAAGCGUUGUCCGGAAUUAUUGGGCGUAAAGCGCGCGCAGGUGGUUUAGAAAGUCUGAUGUGAAAGCCCACGGCUCAACCGUGGAGGGUCAUUGGAAACUAAUAAACUUGAGUGCAGGAGAGAAAAGUGGAAUUCCUAGUGUAGCGGUGAAAUGCGUAGAGAUUAAGAGGAACACCGGUGGCGAAAGCGGCUUUUUGGCCUGCAACUGACACUGAGGCGCGAAAGCGUGGGGAGCAAACAGG